GUAAAAAAUUUAUAAGAAUAUGAUGUUGGUUCAGAUUAAGCGCUAAAUAAGGACAUGACACAUGCGAAUCAUACGUUUAUUAUUGAUAAGAUAAUAAAUAUGUGGUGUAAACGUGAGUAAUUUUAUUAGGAAUUAAUGAACUAUAGAAUAAGCUAAAUACUUAAUAUAUUAUUAUAUAAAAAUAAUUUAUAUAAUAAAAAGGAUAUAUAUAUAAUAUAUAUUUAUCUAUAGUCAAGCCAAUAAUGGUUUAGGUAGUAGGUUUAUUAAGAGUUAAACCUAGCCAACGAUCCAUAAUCGAUAAUGAAAGUUAGAACGAUCACGUUGACUCUGAAAUAUAGUCAAUAUCUAUAAGAUACAGCAGUGAGGAAUAUUGGACAAUGAUCGAAAGAUUGAUCCAGUUACUUAUUAGGAUGAUAUAUAAAAAUAUUUUAUUUUAUUUAUAAAUAUUUAAUAUUUAUAAUAAUAAUAAUAAUAAUAUAUAUAUAUAAAUUGAUUAAAAAUAAAAUCCAUAAAUAAUUAAAAUAAUGAUAUUAAUUACCAUAUAUAUUUUUAUAUGGAUAUAUAUAUUAAUAAUAAUAUUAAUUUUAUUAUUAUUAAUAAUAUAUUUUAAUAGUCCUGACUAAUAUUUGUGCCAGCAGUCGCGGUAACACAAAGAGGGCGAGCGUUAAUCAUAAUGGUUUAAAGGAUCCGUAGAAUGAAUUAUAUAUUAUAAUUUAGAGUUAAUAAAAUUAAUUAAAGAAUUAUAAUAGUAAAGAUGAAAUAAUAAUAAUAAUUAUAAGACUAAUAUAUGUGAAAAUAUUAAUUAAAUAUUAACUGACAUUGAGGGAUUAAAACUAGAGUAGCGAAACGGAUUCGAUACCCGUGUAGUUCUAGUAGUAAACUAUGAAUACAAUUAUUUAUAAUAUAUAUUAUAUAUAAAUAAUAAAUGAAAAUGAAAGUAUUCCACCUGAAGAGUACGUUAGCAAUAAUGAAACUCAAAACAAUAGACGGUUACAGACUUAAGCAGUGGAGCAUGUUAUUUAAUUCGAUAAUCCACGACUAACCUUACCAUAUUUUGAAUAUUAUAAUAAUUAUUAUAAUUAUUAUAUUACAGGCGUUACAUUGUUGUCUUUAGUUCGUGCUGCAAAGUUUUAGAUUAAGUUCAUAAACGAACAAAACUCCAUAUAUAUAAUUUUAAUUAUAUAUAAUUUUAUAUUAUUUAUUAAUAUAAAGAAAGGAAUUAAGACAAAUCAUAAUGAUCCUUAUAAUAUGGGUAAUAGACGUGCUAUAAUAAAAUGAUAAUAAAAUUAUAUAAAAUAUAUUUAAUUAUAUUUAAUUAAUAAUAUAAAACAUUUUAAUUUUUAAUAUAUUUUUUUAUUAUAUAUUAAUAUGAAUUAUAAUCUGAAAUUCGAUUAUAUGAAAAAAGAAUUGCUAGUAAUACGUAAAUUAGUAUGUUACGGUGAAUAUUCUAACUGUUUCGCACUAAUCACUCAUCACGCGUUGAAACAUAUUAUUAUCUUAUUAUUUAUAUAAUAUUUUUUAAUAAAUAUUAAUAAUUAUUAAUUUAUAUUUAUUUAUAUCAGAAAUAAUAUGAAUUAAUGCGAAGUUGAAAUACAGUUACCGUAGGGGAACCUGCGGUGGGCUUAUAAAUAUCUUAAAUAUUCUUACA
RNAcentral lists this non-coding RNA (1648 nucleotides) under Saccharomyces cerevisiae YJM789. RNAcentral's name for it is "15S ribosomal RNA". It matches the Rfam family "Bacterial small subunit ribosomal RNA". RNAcentral also lists the same sequence under 11 other names. The record is from RNAcentral. Lineage: Eukaryota; Fungi; Ascomycota; Saccharomycetes; Saccharomycetales; Saccharomycetaceae.